AUGAUGGCUCGUGAGGCGUCCGGACUGGCCCAGAGAGGUGGGCAACUACCACUCAGGGCCGGAAAGCUCUCCAAACUCGGUCAUUUAGAGGAAGUAAAAGUCGUAACAAGGUCUCCGUUGGUGAACCAGCGGAGGGAUCAUUACCGAGUUUACAACUCCCAAACCCCUGUGAACAUACCACUUGUUGCCUCGGCGGAUCAGCCCGCUCCCGGUAAACGGGACGGCCCGCCAGAGGACCCCUAAACUCUGUUUCUAUAUGUAACUUCUGAGUAGAACCAUAAAUAAAUCAAAACUUUCAACAACGGAUCUCUGGUUCUGGCAUCGAUGAAGAACGCAGCAAAUGCGAUAGUAAUGUGAUUGCAGAUUCAGUGAUCAUCGAUCUUGACGCACAUUGCGCCCGCAGUAUCUGGCGUCAUGCCUGUCGAGCGUCAUUCCACCCUCAGCACAGCUUGGUGGUGGGACUCGCGUCAUCCCGUCCUCAAAUGAUGCGGCACGUCGAGUUCCUAGCGAGUAUAAACCUCGUACUGGUAUCGUCGCGCCACGCCUUACCCACUCUGAUGUGACCUCGAUCAGUAGAUACCGUGACUAGCAUCAUAGCGAGAAGACAACGGAUGCUAUACGGAUGACGACGUCAAUGGAUGGCCGCCAUAUGAGAUCUUGCGGCUCGAUCGACGACUAGGAACCCUGGUGCAUUGAUCCCAGCAGUGAUGCUAGGAUGCUACAUCGGGAUUGCAAAAAGUCAAACUUGAGUAUCAAUGAAGAACUGCU
This 768-nucleotide ribosomal RNA is filed under the name Fusarium oxysporum. RNAcentral's name for it is "eukaryotic LSU rRNA". The stretch from base 1 to 143 matches the Rfam family "Eukaryotic small subunit ribosomal RNA", at positions 1690 to 1831 of the family's 1831-position model. Lineage: Eukaryota; Fungi; Ascomycota; Sordariomycetes; Hypocreales; Nectriaceae. The record is from RNAcentral.